AUUGAACGCUGGCGGCAGGCUUAACACAUGCAAGUCGAGCGGGGUGAUGGUGCUUGCACUAUCACUUAGCGGCGGACGGGUGAGUAAUGCUUAGGAAUCUGCCUAUUAGUGGGGGACAACAUCUCGAAAGGGAUGCUAAUACCGCAUACGUCCUACGGGAGAAAGCAGGGGAUCACUUGUGACCUUGCGCUAAUAGAUGAGCCUAAGUCGGAUUAGCUAGUUGGUGGGGUAAAGGCCUACCAAGGCGACGAUCUGUAGCGGGUCUGAGAGGAUGAUCCGCCACACUGGGACUGAGACACGGCCCAGACUCCUACGGGAGGCAGCAGUGGGGAAUAUUGGACAAUGGGGGGAACCCUGAUCCAGCCAUGCCGCGUGUGUGAAGAAGGCCUUAUGGUUGUAAAGCACUUUAAGCGAGGAGGAGGCUCUUUUGGUUAAUACCCAGGAUGAGUGGACCUUACUCGCAGAAUAAGCACCGGCUAACUCUGUGCCAGCAGCCGCCGUAA
This 503-nucleotide ribosomal RNA is filed under the name uncultured bacterium. RNAcentral's name for it is "partial 16S ribosomal RNA". It matches the Rfam family "Bacterial small subunit ribosomal RNA", at positions 30 to 523 of the family's 1533-position model. The record is from RNAcentral.